Small nucleolar RNA from Erinaceus europaeus (western European hedgehog), 134 nucleotides. Its record names the gene SNORA70. It matches the Rfam family "Small nucleolar RNA SNORA70". Rfam says of the family: snoRNA U70 seems to be exclusive to mammals and is a member of the H/ACA class of snoRNA which contain H (ANANNA) and ACA box motifs. H/ACA box snoRNAs are involved in the conversion of uridines to pseudouridines (5-ribosyluracil) a constituent of structural RNAs (transfer, ribosomal, small nuclear, and small nucleolar). The record is from Ensembl. NCBI's taxonomy places the organism in Eukaryota, Metazoa, Chordata, Mammalia, Eulipotyphla, Erinaceidae.
CUGCAGCCAAUUAAGCCGACCGUGUUCUUUUCCCCGUGGGACCCGGUGUGCAAUGGCUGCAAACAGUAGCCUCCAUGGUAGUGUAUGCAGCCUGUUCCUUGUAUGGGUUGCUCUAAGGGACCCUGGAGACAGCC